Molecule: non-coding RNA, 773 nt
Filed under: Parnassius bremeri
Lineage: Eukaryota; Metazoa; Arthropoda; Insecta; Lepidoptera; Papilionidae
Source: RNAcentral
AAUAAAUUUUUAUGAUUUAUAAAAUUUAAUUUAAAUUUGUUUUACAUGUAAAUUUUAGUGUUAAUUUUUAAUUAUUUUAAUAAUAAUUAUUAAUAUUUGCAGUAAUUUGAAUUAAAAAUUUAAGAAAUUAAGAUUUAGGAAUAUUUUAAUUAUUAACAAAUUUUGUGCCAGCAGUUGCGGUUAUACAAAAAAUAAUUUAAAUUUUACCGGUAUAUAAUAAAUAAUAAUUUUAUUUAAAUUAAAUAUUAAAUUAUUAAGUGAAAUUUUAAUUUAAUUAAAAUUUAUAUUAAUUUUAUGAUUUAUUAAAUUUUAUAAAAAACUAGGAUUAGAUACCCUAUUAUUAAAAAUUAAAUUUAUAAUACUAAAAUAGUAGAUAAUAAUUUAUUGAAACUUAAAUAAUUUGGCGGUAUUUUAGUUCAUUUAGAGGAAUCUGUUUAAUAAUUGAUAAUCCACGAAUAAAUUUACUUAAUUUAUUAUUUUGUAUAUCGUUGUUAAAAAAAUAUUUUUUAAUAAAAAUAAUAUUUAAAAAUUUUUAUAUAAAAUUAAUUCAGAUCAAGAUGCAGAUUAUAAUUAAGAAUAUAAUGGAUUACAAUAAAUAAAUUUAAAUGAAUAAUAUUUUUUAAUAAAUAUUUGAAGGUGGAUUUAAAUGUAAUUUUAAUUAAUUUAUUAAAAUGAUUAUAUAUUAAAAUAUGUACAUAUUGCCCGUCGCUUUCAUUAAUAAAUUGGAAUAAGUCGUAACAAAGUAGAGGUACUGGAAAGUGUUUCUAGAAAGA